AGACAGUUAGGGUCUGUAGAGACAGUUAGGGUCUGUAGAGACAGUUAGGGUCAUCAAACACAUACAGGUCUGUAGGGACAGUUAGGGUCUGUAGAGACAGUUAGGGUCUGUAGAGACAGUUAGGGUCUGUAGGGACAGUUAGGGUCUGUAGAGACAGUUAGGGUCUGUAGGGACAGUUAGGGUCUGUAGAGACAGUUAGGGUCUGUAGGGACAGUUAGGGUCUGUAGAGACAGUUAGGGUCUGUAGGGACAGUUAGGGUCUGUAGAGACAGUUAGGGUCUGUAGAGACAGUUAGGGUCUGUAGAGACAGUUAGGGUCUGUAGAGACAGUUAGGGUCUUCAACACAUACAGGUCUGUAGAGACAGUUAGGGUCUUCAACACAUACAGGUCUGUAGAGACAGUUAGGGUCUUCAAACACAUACAGGUCUGUAGAGACAGUUAGGGUCUAUAGGGACAGUUAGGGUCUAUAGGGACAGUUAGGGUCUGUAGAGACAGUUAGGGUCUGUAGAGACAGUUAGGGUCUGUAGAGACAGUUAGGGUCUAUAGGGACAGUUAGGGUCUGUAGAGACAGUUAGGGUCUGUAGGGACAGUUAGGGUCUGUAGAGACAGUUAGGGUCUGUAGAGACAGUUAGGGUCAUCAAACACAUACAGGUCUGUAGGGACAGUUAGGGUCUGUAGAGACAGUUAGGGUCUGUAGAGACAGUUAGGGUCUGUAGGGACAGUUAGGGUCUGUAGAGACAGUUAGGGUCUGUAGGGACAGUUAGGGUCUGUAGAGACAGUUAGGGUCUGUAGGGACAGUUAGGGUCUGUAGAGACAGUUAGGGUCUGUAGGGACAGUUAGGGUCUGUAGAGACAGUUAGGGUCUGUAGAGACAGUUAGGGUCUGUAGAGACAGUUAGGGUCUUCAAACACAUACAGGUCUGUAGGGACAGUUAGGGUCUGUAGGGACAGUUAGGGUCUGUAGGGACAGUUAGGGUCUGUAGAGACAGUUAGGGUCUGUAGAGACAGUUAGGGUCUGUAGAGACAGUUAGGGUCUGUAGAGACAGUUAGGGUCUUCAACACAUACAGGUCUGUAGAGACAGUUAGGGUCUUCAACACAUACAGGUCUGUAGAGACAGUUAGGGUCUUCAAACACAUACAGGUCUGUAGAGACAGUUAGGGUCUAUAGGGACAGUUAGGGUCUAUAGGGACAGUUAGGGUCUGUAGAGACAGUUAGGGUCUGUAGAGACAGUUAGGGUCUGUAGAGACAGUUAGGGUCUAUAGGGACAGUUAGGGUCUGUAGAGACAGUUAGGGUCUGUAGGGACAGUUAGGGUCUGUAGGGACAGUUAGGGUCUGUAGAGACAGUUAGGGUCUGUAGAGACAGUUAGGGUCUGUAGAGACAGUUAGGGUCUGUAGAGACAGUUAGGGUCUGUAGGGACAGUUAGGGUCUUCAAACACAUACAGGUCUGUAGGGACAGUUAGGGUCUGUAGAGACAGUUAGGGUCUGUAGAGACAGUUAGGGUCUGUAGAGACAGUUAGGGUCUGUAGAGACAGUUAGGGUCUGUAGAGACAGUUAGGGUCUUCAAACACAUACAGGUCUGUAGAGACAGUUAGGGUCUGUAGAGACAGUUAGGGUCUGUAGAGACAGUUAGGGUCUGUAGAGACAGUUAGGGUCUUUAGGGACAGUUAGGGUCUGUAGAGACAGUUAGGGUCUUCAAACACAUACAGGUCUGUAGGGACAGUUAGGGUCUUCAACACAUACAGGUCUGUAGAGACAGUUAGGGUCUGUAGAGACAGUUAGGGUCUGUAGAGACAGUUAGGGUCUGUAGAGACAGUUAGGGUCUGUAGAGACAGUUAGGGUCUGUAGGGACAGUUAGGGUCUGUAGAGACAGUUAGGGUCUUCAAACACAUACAGGUCUGUAGAGACAGUUAGGGUCUUCAACACAUACAGGUCUGUAGAGACAGUUAGGGUCUGUAGAGACAGUUAGGGUCUAUAUAUCGACAGUUAGGGUCUGUAGAGACAGUUAGGGUCUGUAGAGACAGUUAGGGUCUUAAACACAUACAGGUCUGUAGAGACAGUUAGGGUCUGUAGAGACAGUUAGGGUCUAUAUAUCGACAGUUAGGGUCUUCAACACAUACAGGUCUGUAGAGACAGUUAGGGUCUUCAAACACAUACAGGUCUGUAGAGACAGUUAGGGUCUAUGAGGACAGUUAGGGUCUGUAGAGACAGUUAGGGUCUGUAGAGACAGUUAGGGUCUGUAGAGACAGUUAGGGUCUAUAGGGACAGUUAGGGUCUGUAGAGACAGUUAGGGUCUGUAGGGACAGUUAGGGUCUAUAGGGACAGUUAGGGUCUGUAGAGACAGUUAGGGUCUGUAGAGACAGUUAGGGUCUGUAGAGACAGUUAGGGUCUGUAGGGACAGUUAGGGUCUUCAAACACAUACAGGUCUGUAGGGACAGUUAGGGUCUGUAGAGACAGUUAGGGUCUAUAGGGACAGUUAGGGUCUGUAGAGACAGUUAGGGUCUGUAGAGACAGUUAGGGUCUUCAAACACAUACAGGUCUGUAGAGACAGUUAGGGUCUGUAGAGACAGUUAGGGUCUGUACAGAACAGUUAUGGUCUGUAGAGACAGUUAGGGCCUGUAGAGACAGUUAGGGUCUGUAGAGACAGUUAGGGUCUUCAAACACAUACAGGUCUGUAGAGACAGUUAGGGUCUAUAGGGGCAGUUAGGGUCUGUAGAGACAGUUAGGGUCUGUAGAGACAGUUAGGGUCUGUAGAGACAGUUAGGGUCUUCAAACACAUUCAGGUCUUUAGGGACAGUUAGGGUCUGUAGAGACAGUUAGGGUCUUCAAACACAUUCAGGUCUGUAGAGACAGUUAGGGUCUGUAGGGACAGUUAGGGUCUAUAGGGACAGUUAGGGUCUGUAGAGACAGUUAGGGUCUGUAGAGACAGUUAGGGUCUGUAGAGACAGUUAGGUUCUGUAGAGACAGUUAGGGUCUGUAGAGACAGUUAGGGUCUUCAACACAUACAGGUCUGUAGAGACAGUUAGGGUCUGUAGAGACAGUUAGGGUCUGUAGAGACAGUUAGGGUCUAUAUAUCGACAGUUAGGGUCUGUAGAGACAGUUAGGGUCUAUAGGGACAGUUAGGGUCUAUAGGGACAGUUAGGGUCUGUAGAGACAGUUAGGGUCUGUAGAGACAGUUAGGGUCUAUAGGGACAGUUAGGGUCUGUAGAGACAGUUAGGGUCUAUAGGGACAGUUAUUGUCUUCAAACACAUACAGGUCUGUAGGGACAGUUAGGGUCUAUAGGGACAGUUAGGGUCUUCAAACACAUACAGGUCUGUAGAGACAGUUAGGGUCUUCAACACAUACAGGUCUGUAGAGACAGUUAGGGUCUGUAGAGACAGUUAGGGUCUAUAGAGACAGUUAGGGUCUGUAGAGACAGUUAGGGUCUAUAGGGACAGUUAGGGUCUAUAGGGACAGUUAGGGUCUAUAGGGACAGUUAGGGUCUGUAGAGACAGUUAGGGUCUGUAGAGACAGUUAGGGUCUGUAGAGACAGUUAGGGUCUGUAGAGACAGUUAGGGUCUGUAGAGACAGUUAGGGUCUAUAGGGACAGUUAGGGUCUAUAGGGACAGUUAGGAUCUAUAGGGACAGUUAGGGUCUGUAGAGACAGUUAGGGUCUGUAGAGACAGUUAGGGUCUGUAGAGACAGUUAGGGUCUGUAGAGACAGUUAGGGUCUGUAGGGACAGUUAGGGUCUGUAGAGACAGUUAGGGUCUGUAGAGACAGUUAGGGUCUGUAGGGACAGUUAGGGUCUGUAGAGACAGUUAGGGUCUGUAGAGACAGUUAGGGUCUGUAGGGACAGUUAGGGUCUGUAGGGACAGUUAGGGUCUGUAGAGACAGUUAGGGUCUGUAGAGACAGUUAGGGUCUGUAGAGACAGUUAGGGUCUGUAGAGACAGUUAGGGUCUGUAGAGACAGUUAGGGUCUGUAGAGACAGUUAGGGUCUGUAGAGACAGUUAGGGUCUGUAGAGACAGUUAGGGUCUGUAGGGACAGUUAGGGUCUGUAGAGACAGUUAGGGUCUGUAGAGACAGUUAGGGUCUGUAGAGACAGUUAGGGUCUGUAGGGACAGUUAGGGUCUGUAGAGACAGUUAGGGUCUGUAGGGACAGUUAGGGUCUGUAGAGACAGUUAGGGUCUGUAGAGACAGUUAGGGUCUGUAGAGACAGUUAGGGUCUGUAGAGACAGUUAGGGUCUGUAGGGACAGUUAGGGUCUGUAGAGACAGUUAGGGUCUGUAGAGACAGUUAGGGUCUGUAGAGACAGUUAGGGUCUUCAAACACAUACAGGAAGCAGAGAUACUGCGUCCAUGUCCUUCCACCCGUCAGAUGACUUCCUGUUGGUGGGGACGCAGCGCCCCAUCCUCCGCCUCGAUGUGUGUGUCUGUGUGUGUCUGUUGAUGUGUGUGUGUGUGUGUGUCUGUUGAUGUGUCUCUGUCUUGGUGUGUGUGUCUUUCUCUCUUAGUGUGUGUGUGUCUUUCUCUCUUAGUGUGUGUGUGUCUUUCUCUCUUAGUGUGUGUGUGUGUGUGUCUUUCUCUCUUAGUGUGUGUGUGUGUCUUUCUCUCUUAGUGUGUGUGUGUGUCUUUCUCUCUUGGCGUGUGUGUGUCUCUCUCCUGGUGUGUGUGUGUGUGUGUGUGUGUGUGUGUGUGUGUGUGUGUGUGUGUGUGUGUGUGUGUGUGUGUGUGUGUGUGUGUGUGUGUGUGUGUGUGUGUGUGUGUGUGUAAACAGAGAUCUGUUUAUUAUGGGAUGUUGUCCUGUCUACAGAGACCUGUUUAUUAUGGGAUGUUGUCCUGUCUACAGAGACCUGUUUAUUAUGGGAUGUUGUCCUGUCUACAGAGACCUGUUUAUUAUGGGAUGUUGUCCUGUCUACAGAGACCUGGUAUCCCAGAGACCUGUUUAUUAUGGGAUGUUGUCCCGUCUACAGAGACCUGUUUAUUAUGGGAUGUUGUCCUGUCUACAGAGACCUGUUUAUUAUGGGAUGUUGUCCUGUCUACAGAGACCUGGUAUCCCAGAGACCUGUUUAUUAUGGGAUGUUGUCCUGUCUACAGAGACCUGUUUAUUAUGGGAUGUUGUCCUGUCUACAGAGACCUGUUUAUUAUGGGAUGUUGUCCUGUCUACAGAGACCUGGUAUCCCAGAGACCUGUUUAUUAUGGGAUGUUGUCCUGUCUACAGAGACCUGUUUAUUAUGGGAUGUUGUCCCGUCAAUAGAGACCUGGUAUCCCAGAUAUUUUGCUGAUUUUAAAUUAACAAUGUUAUUGGGAAUCUAAUAAUGAAUCAUAAUAGUUCUAGUUAUUUUGAAGACAAAGUGAUCGACAUUCAUAUUUUUUUAUUUCAUCUUUUGAUAAAAACAACUUUGUAGUUGAGUCAGUGUUGUAACUUCUUUUCCACUUUUUGAUUUAGUUUUUUUUAUCUUUCUGUCUGUCACAGAUUUUUAUAUGAAAACCUUAAAAGUGAAGUUGCCCCUUGUUUUUUGCUAAUCAUAUACACAUCCUAAUAAUAAUAAUAAUACCUGUUUUUUGUGAGGCACACUGACCUGGUCUGUUUCUGUUCUUUUAGUUCAAUCAGACAUUUGGACGAUGAAACAGACUGACACCCAGGGGUAGAGAAACACUCGUAUGACGAUUCACCGGGAGUUUAAUUCCGCUGCUCUUAUCGAUCGCUGCGUACACUGAGUCUACUCUCAGAAAAGCUUCAAGUCGCCGGGGACAUGGGGACUCUACAAGGUGUCGAAAGCGUUCCACAGGGAUGUUGGCCCUUGUUGACUCCAAUGCUUCCCCACAGUUGUGUCAAGUUGGCUGGAUGUGGUGGACUAUUCUUGAUACACACGGGGAAACUGUUGUGCGUGGGGAAAACCCCAGCAGAGUUACAGUCCUUAACGCCUGGCACCUACCUCCAUACCCUGUUCAAAGGUACUUAAAUAUUUCACAAAUUCGCCCUCUUUCACCUGGUCAGUAUUGUCCAGGAAAGAGCAGGUGUUCUUAAUGUUUUGUCAGGUCAGUGUUCAGUCUAAUCUGCCAUCCUAGAAGUCGUUUGUGUGACUUCAAAUUGAGGAGGUGUUGGAACGCAUAUUCAUCAGCGAUUGGAUCGUCUUAACAAAAGAGUAACCAAUCAUCAUGUAGAUCAUCCCAUCGGUUUCUUGGGACCAAUGAGAACGGUCAGAAUGAGUUUCAAUUCUAGAAAUCGUUGGCGCUCGAAGAAACGUCAGUUGGCUGAAGCCAGGUGGAUGGCUCGCCGUCCCUUUGGGCUAUGGGUGUUAGGUGGAGAAACGGAGAGAGCUAACAGACCUCGCUGAUGCAGGAGACCACAGCUUUUCUCGGUGAUCGGCUGUUGCUGUGGUCAGUGGUUUAGGCUGAACAGAAAGGGACUUCACGUUAUACUGAUGUUUACUGGUAGCCAGUGGUGUUGACACAUUUACACAGGAAACCCACAGCGUAAUUCUGUUCUGACUCGAGCCACGAUAUAACCUGACAUCAUCAGUGACAAUUUUCUCAUGUAAUUCUUGGUGGGAAACAUGGCAGGAAAGCCACUAACGCUACUCAAUACAUUAAUUGCACUAUAACGGUGACACGCGAUGCCCACAAAACCGUUAAGGCCUACGUAAAGCUGUCCCAACACCUGACCACAAAUCAUGCUUCAUUGACAGCAUGGCCAAUGUUGAAUCUUUAUCAGUUAAACUAGGAAAAGAGACCCUUAAAUCUUAGCAGGCUAUUGAUUACUAGGUGAGACAACCACAUAUCACAGUCAUAGUCAGUACAUUCAUCUACAGAUAGCUAGGUGGGACAACCACAUAUCACAGUCAUAGUCAGUACAUUCAUCUACAGAUAGCUAGGUGGGACAACCACAUAUCUCAGUCAUAGUCAGUACAUUCAUCUACAGAUAGCUAGGUGAGACAACCACAUAUCACAGUCAUAGUCAGUACAUUCAUCUACAGAUAGCUAGGUGAGACAACCACAUAUCACAGUCAUAGUCAGUACAUUCAUCUACAGAUAGCUAGGUGGGACAACCACAUAUCACAGUCAGUACAUUCAUCUACAGAUAGCUAGGUGAGACAACCACAUAUCACAGUCAGUACAUUCAUCUACAGAUAGCUAGGUGAGACAACCACAUAUCACAGUCAGUACAUUCAUCUACAGAUAGCUGGGUGAGACAACCACAUAUCUCAGUCAUAGUCAGUACAUUCAUCUACAGAUAGCUAGGUGGGACAACCACAUAUCACAGUCAUAGUCAGUACAUUCAUCUUCAGAUAGCUAGGUGAGACAACCACAUAUCACAGUCAUAGUCAGUACAUUCAUCUACAGAUAGCUAGGUGGGACAACCACAUAUCACAGUCAUAGUCAGUACAUUCAUCUACAGAUAGCUAGGUGGGACAACCACAUAUCACAGUCAUAGUCAGUACAUUCAUCUUCAGAUAGCUAGGUGGGACAACCACAUAUCACAGUCAUAGUCAGUACAUUCAUCUUCAGAUAGCUAGGUGGGACAACCACAUAUCACAGUCAUAGUCAGUACAUUCAUCUACAGAUAGCUAGGUGAGACAACCACAUAUCACAGUCAUAGUCAGUACAUUCAUCUCCAGAUAGCUAGGUGAGACAACCACAUAUCUCAGUCAUAGUCAGUACAUUCAUCUACAGAUAGCUAGGUGAGACACCCACAUAUCACAGUCAUAGUCAGUACAUUCAUCUACAGAUAGCUAGGUGAGACAACCACAUAUCUCAGUCAUAGUCAGUACAUUCAUCUUCAGAUAGCUAGGUGGGACAACCACAUAUCACAGUCAGUACAUUCAUCUACAGAUAGCUAGGUGGGACAACCACAUAUCACAGUCAGUACAUUCAUCUACAGAUAGCUAGGUGGGACAACCACAUAUGACAGUCAUAGUCAGUACAUUCAUCUACAGAUAGCUAGGUGAGACAACCACAUAUCACAGUCAUAGUCAGUACAUUCAUCUACAGAUAGCUAGGUGGGACAACCACAUAUCACAGUCAUAGUCAGUACAUUCAUCUACAGAUAGCUAGGUGAGACAACCACAUAUGACAGUCAUAGUCAGUACAUUCAUCUACAGAUAGCUAGGAGGGACAACCACAUAUCACAGUCACAGUCAGUACAUUCAUCUCCAGAUAGCUAGGUGAGACAACCACAUAUCACAGUCAUAGUCAGUACAUUCAUCUACAGAUAGCUAGGUGGGACAACCACAUAUCACAGUCAGUACAUUCAUCUACAGAUAGCUAGGUGAGACACCCACAUAUCACAGUCAUAGUCAGUACAUUCAUCUACAGAUAGCUAGGUGAGACAACCACAUAUCACAGUCAUAGUCAGUACAUUCAUCUACAGAUAGCUAGGAGAGACAACCACAUAUCACAGUCAUAGUCAGUACAUUCAUCUUCAGAUAGCUAGGUGAGACAACCACAUAUCACAGUCAUAGUCAGUACAUUCAUCUUCAGAUAGCUAGGUGAGACAACCACAUAUCACAGUCAGUACAUUCAUCUACAGAUAGCUAGGUGAGACAACCACAUAUCACAGUCAUAGUCAGUACAUUCAUCUUCAGAUAGCUAGGUGAGACAACCACAUAUCACAGUCAGUACAUUCAUCUACAGAUAGCUAGGUGAGACAACCACAUAUCACAGUCAUAGUCAGUACAUUCAUCUACAGAUAGCUAGGUGAGACAACCACAUAUCACAGUCACAGUCAGUACAUUCAUCUACAGAUAGCUAGGUGAGACAACCACAUAUCACAGUCAUAGUCAGUACAUUCAUCUACAGAUAGCUAGGUGGGACAACCACAUAUCUCAGUCACAGUCAGUACAUUCAUCUCCAGAUAGCUAGGUGGGACAACCACAUAUCACAGUCAGUACAUUCAUCUACAGAUAGCUAGGUGGGACAACCACAUAUCACAGUCAUAGUCAGUACAUUCAUCUUCAGAUAGCUAGGUGGGACAACCACAUAUCACAGUCAUAGUCAGUACAUUCAUCUUCAGAUAGCUAGGUGGGACAACCACAUAUCACAGUCAGUACAUUCAUCUACAGAUAGCUAGGUGGGACAACCACAUAUCACAGUCAGUACAUUCAUCUACAGAUAGCUAGGUGAGACAACCACAUAUCACAGUCAUAGUCAGUACAUUCAUCUACAGAUAGCUAGGUGAGACAACCACAUAUCACAGUCAUAGUCAGUACAUUCAUCUUCAGAUAGCUAGGUGAGACAACCACAUAUCACAGUCAUAGUCAGUACAUUCAUCUACAGAUAGCUAGGUGAGACAACCACAUAUCACAGUCACAGUCAGUACAUUCAUCUACAGAUAGCUAGGUGAGACAACCACAUAUCACAGUCACAGUCAGUACAUUCAUCUACAGAUAGCUAGGUGAGACAACCACAUAUCACAGUCAUAGUCAGUACAUUCAUCUACAGAUAGCUAGGUGGGACAACCACAUAUCACAGUCAUAGUCAGUACAUUCAUCUACAGAUAGCUAGGUGAGACAACCACAUAUGACAGUCAUAGUCAGUACAUUCAUCUACAGAUAGCUAGGUGAGACAACCACAUAUCACAGUCAUAGUCAGUACAUUCAUCUUCAGAUAGUGUAAGAAAUUGAAAUAGAGACUGGAAACUAGCAAUAACUACACUUCAACAUAAGCCAUAUAUUAUACAAAAACACACAUACUCCUCAUUUCUCUUGGACAUAUGCUGGACUUAAGACACCAACUAUAGACACACAUAAUUCCCCUCCCCCAUAAUAACCACAGACACACCCAACCCAAGGUUGGACCUCAGGACAAAGAACUCUCAGGAACCAAUGGAACGUGGACACCAGGCCUGAUCAGGACUACCCAAGACCCAGAUCGACCAAUCGGAAGGCCGGACUCGCAGAUCUACCUACUUUGCUUGUUGUCUAUAUAGUACUGUACAAUUCUGGAAACUGGCCUCUUUUCCGGACGAUUCACUAGGAGUCAGACUGAAAGAGCCUUGCUGCAAGAUUUUACUAAGAUAUCUUUACAUGUAAUUAAACGGCCUUAUUAUAAAAUUA
Long non-coding RNA from Salvelinus fontinalis (brook trout), 10031 nucleotides. RefSeq lists it as uncharacterized. Lineage: Eukaryota; Metazoa; Chordata; Actinopteri; Salmoniformes; Salmonidae. The record is from RefSeq and is a predicted model, not a curated record. The transcript is spliced from 2 exons.